RNAcentral lists this ribosomal RNA (380 nucleotides) under uncultured eukaryote. RNAcentral's name for it is "partial 18S ribosomal RNA". It matches the Rfam family "Eukaryotic small subunit ribosomal RNA", at positions 592 to 976 of the family's 1831-position model. The record is from RNAcentral.
CAAUAGCGUAUAUUAAAAUUGUUGCAGUUAAAAAGCUCGUAGUUGGAUUUGUGGCGUACGGUGUGUUCCGGGCACUUGUUGUCUGAGUAACCUGCUGUUGCCAUCCUUGGGUGGAACCUGUGUGGCAUUAGGUUGUCGUGCAGGGGAUGCCCAUCAUUUACUGUGAAAAAAUUAGAGUGUUCAAAGCAGGCUUAUGCCGUUGAAUAUAUUAGCAUGGAAUAAUGAGAUAGGACUUUUUUGCUAUUUUGUUGGUUUGCGCAAAGAGGUAAUGAUUAAUAGGGACAGUUGGGGGUAUUCGUAUUCCAUUGUCAGAGGUGAAAUUCUUGGAUUUUUGGAAGACGAACUACUGCGAAAGCAUUUACCAAGGAUGUUUUCAUUAA